Oncorhynchus tshawytscha (Chinook salmon) is the source of this 1241-nucleotide long non-coding RNA. Lineage: Eukaryota; Metazoa; Chordata; Actinopteri; Salmoniformes; Salmonidae. The record is from Ensembl.
ACAGUCCAAACAGAGUACAUACCAUCAUGAUUUGACUCAACCAUGAGAGACCAUAACAUCACAGUCCAAACAGAGUACAUACCAUCAUGAUUUGUUGAGCCACACCCAUCAUCCUCAGGCUGCCGUUUCAGCUCCAUCUCUGUCAGUGGUGUAGCUGUUAGGAUAACAGAACAAGUAUAUUUCAGUGUAAAACAGUCUUGUAUUAGCUGAAGUACAGAAUCAUUGUGAUAGCUACGAGUGUUCCAGGUUGAAUGAACAGUUCAGUGUAAAACUGUCUUGUAUUAGCUGAAGUACAGAAUCAUUGUGAUAGCUACGAGUGUUCCAGGUUGACUGAACAGUUCAGUCUGCUACAUCCUUCUCAAACAGUUCAUGGUUAUGAUAUUUCAGUUCAGUGUGGAACAGUCUUGUAUUAGCUGAAGUACAGAAUCAUUGUGAUAGCUACGAGUGUUCCAGGUUGACUGAGCAGUUCAGUCUGCUACAUCCUUCUCAAACAGUUCAUGUAUAUGAGGUUUCAUUAUAUAAUAUAAGAUAUUAAAACCAAAUAUUGAGUUUUACCUUCAGUCAUGGUUCUGUCCCUCUUUGCCAAUUUUUUGUCAAAUGUCACCAGCUCUUUCAGGUCCUCUGCCUGCGUUGAACCAGCUCUUUCAGCUCCUCUGCCUGCGUUGAACCAGCUCUUUCAGGUCCUCUGCCUGCGUUGAACCAGCUCUUUCAGCUCCUCUGCCUGCAUUGAACCAGCUCUUUCAGCUCCCUCUGCCUGCCUUGAACCAGCUCUUUCAGGUCCCCUGCCUGCGUUGAACCAGCUCUUUCAGGUCCCCUGCCUGCGUUGAACCAGCUCUUUCAGGUCCCCUGCCUGUGUUGAACCAGCUCUUUCAGGUCCUCUGCCUGCGUUGAACCAGCUCUUUCAGGUCCUCUGCCUGCGUUGAACCAGCUCUUUCAGGUCCUCUGCCUGUGUUGAACCAGCUCUUUCAGGUCCUCUGCCUGCGUUGAACCAGCUCUUUCAGGUCCUCUGCCUGCGUUGAACCAGCUCUUUCAGCUCCUCUGCCUGCGUUGAACCAGCAGUCUGAGUACUGAAGUUUUCUCACAAACAAAGAAAGGAAUAUCCUGUGCAUCUGGCAGAAUGGAGGGGAGGUUCCUGCUUCCCUGGAUUGUCUACAGUUCUGACAAACAUGGCCUGUGUCCCAAACGGUACCUUAUUCCCUUUAUAGUCUGCUACUGUAGAGCAGGGCCCUAGUGCACUAUAU